UGUCCUACGGGACGCAGCAGUGGGGAAUAUUGGGCAAUGGGCGCAAGCCUGACCCAGCAACGCCGCGUGAAGGAAGAAGGCUUUCGGGUUGUAAACUUCUUUUAAGAGGGACGAAGGAAGUGACGGUACCUCUUGAAUAAGCCACGGCUAACUACGUGCCAGCAGCCGCGGUAAUACGUAGGUGGCAAGCGUUAUCCGGAUUUAUCGGGUGUAAAGGGCGUGUAGGCGGGAGCGCAAGUCAGAUGUGAAAACUCAGGGCUCAACCCUGAGCCUGCAUUUGAAACUGUGUUUCUUGAGUGCUGGAG
Molecule: ribosomal RNA, 305 nt
Filed under: uncultured bacterium
Lineage: Bacteria
Description: bacterial SSU rRNA
Rfam family: Bacterial small subunit ribosomal RNA
Source: RNAcentral